Molecule: ribosomal RNA, 427 nt
Filed under: uncultured bacterium
Lineage: Bacteria
Description: bacterial SSU rRNA
Rfam family: Bacterial small subunit ribosomal RNA
Source: RNAcentral
GGACCCGCACAAGCGGUGGAGCAUGUGGUUUAAUUCGAUGCAACGCGAAAAACCUUACCUACACUUGACAUACUUCGAAUUUUCUAGAGAUAGAUUAGUGCCUUCGGGAACGAAGAUACAGGUGCUGCAUGGCUGUCGUCAGCUCGUGUCGUGAGAUGUUGGGUUAAGUCCUAUAACGAGCGCAACCCUUACCCUUAUUUGCCAGCGGUUAGGCCGGGAACUAUAAGGGAACUGCCGGUAAUAAGCCGGAGGAAGGUGGGGACGACGUCAAGUCAUCAUGGCCCUUACGUGUAGGGCUACACACGUGCUACAAUGGUAGGUACAGAGGGCAGCUACACAGCGAUGUGAUGCGAAUCUCAAAAAGCCUAUCGUAGUCCAGAUUGGAGUCUGCAACUCGACUCCAUGAAGUAGGAAUCGCUAGUAAUCG